AGGAUGAAAGGAUGGGUAUGGAAAGAAUGGAAAUUAUCACACUACUAUUGUUGCUCUUCUAUACUGCUAGAACCGAAGACAAGUUUGACGAUCCAGAGCAAAAGUGGUAUCCAAAUAGACGCCGGGGUAACGAUGCUGCCAGUUUCUAUGGAGGAAGUAUUUGGUACUGGCUCCAAUUAAUGUUUAUACCACCUUUCUUUGCACUUUUGAUAAUAAUUUUUUCCUUUGUUGCCUGUGCACGUGGAAGAGUAUGUGCCUGUUGCAACAGAGGUAAAAGGAGCACUAUCACCGUGCAAGUGGCCUAAUUGCUCUGAUUUCUUAGUCUGAAAACCGGUAACUAUUAACUGGUAACUGGUAACUGGUAACUGGUAACUGGUAACUGGUAACUGGUAACUGGUAACUGGUAACUGUAACUGGUAACUGGUAAUUGGUAACGGGUUACCAUAUCAGAGACCUCUGAAUAGCUGCAAAAUAAUCACAAUGAAGUCCUUUGAACUAUAAAACCAUUUACAACCCUUACUUUUCAACCAAUAUACCCUUUGAGGCUUUCAUGCAUGGUGCAUGGUCAUGAUAUCAUUAUUAUUUA
Molecule: long non-coding RNA, 586 nt
Organism: Bolinopsis microptera
Lineage: Eukaryota; Metazoa; Ctenophora; Tentaculata; Lobata; Bolinopsidae
Exons: 2
Source: RefSeq, a predicted model, not a curated record